This 292-nucleotide ribosomal RNA is filed under the name uncultured bacterium. RNAcentral's name for it is "partial 16S ribosomal RNA". The record is from RNAcentral.
GGACUACCGGGGUUUCUAAUCCCGUUUGCUCCCCACGCUUUCGCGCCUCAGCGUCAGGAGUUGCCCAGAGACCCGCCUUCGCCACCGGUGUUCCUCCCGAUCUCUACACAUUUCACCGCUACACCGGGAAUUCCAGUCUCCUCUGCAACCCUCAAGAACGGCAGUUUCGAUCGACGCUCCUCAGUUGAGCCGAGGGAUUUCACGACCGACUUGCCAUCCCGCCUACGCGCCCUUUACGCCCAGUAAUUCCGAGCAACGCUUGCCCCCUCUGUCUUACCGCGGCGGCUGGCAC